GGGGAAUUUUGGACAAUGGGGGCAACCCUGAUCCAGCAAUGCCGCGUGAGUGAAGAAGGCCUUCGGGUUGUAAAGCUCUUUUGUCAGGGAAGAAACACCGGCUCUAACACAGUCCGGGAAUGACGGUACCUGAAGAAUAAGCACCGGCUAACUACGUGCCAGCAGCCGCGGUAAUACGUAGGGUGCGAGCGUUAAUCGGAAUUACUGGGCGUAAAGCGUGCGCAGGCGGUUAUACAAGACAGGCGUGAAAUCCCCGGGCUUAACCUGGGAAUGGCGCCUGUGACUGUAUAGCUAGAGUGUGUCAGAGGGGGGUAGAAUUCCACGUGUAGCAGUGAAAUGCGUAGAUAUGUGGAGGAAUACCAAUGGCGAAGGCAGCCCCCUGGGAUAACACUGACGCUCAUGCACGAAAGCGUGGGGAGCAAACAGGAUUAGAUACCCCCGUAGUCCG
RNAcentral lists this ribosomal RNA (448 nucleotides) under beta proteobacterium SCGC AAA044-E10. RNAcentral describes it as "bacterial SSU rRNA". It matches the Rfam family "Bacterial small subunit ribosomal RNA", at positions 356 to 797 of the family's 1533-position model. The record is from RNAcentral. Lineage: Bacteria; Pseudomonadati; Pseudomonadota; Betaproteobacteria.